GACGAACGUUGGCGGCGUGCUUAAUACAUGCAAGUCAAAUGAAGAAGUGGUAGCAAUAUCGCUGUGUAGGUGGCGCAAGGGUGAGUAAACAGUAGGUAAUCUGCCUUCUGGUCUGGCAUUACUUCGGGGAACCGGGGCUAAUAGCAGAUGAUGCAGCGGCUCGACAUCGAGACAGUUGUUAAAGCUAUGCCGCCUGAAGAUGAGCCUGCGUUUGAUUAGCUAGUUGGGGGGGUAACGGCUCACCAAGGGAACGAUCAGUAGCUGGUCUGAGAGGAUGAUCGGCCACACUGGAACUGAGACUCGGUCCAGACUCCUACGGGAGGCAGCAGUAAGGAAUAUUGCGCAAUAUGAGAAAUCCUGAAGCAGCAACGCCGCGUGAGGGACGAAGUGCUUUUGCUUGUAAACCGCUUUAGUGAGAGAAAAAAAUCCCAAUCUUGGGGACAUGAUGGUAUCUCAAAAGUAAGCCCCGGCUAACUACGUG
Molecule: ribosomal RNA, 481 nt
Filed under: uncultured bacterium
Lineage: Bacteria
Description: partial 16S ribosomal RNA
Rfam family: Bacterial small subunit ribosomal RNA
Source: RNAcentral